UGGCUGAGUCACAACUCUCUUCCAGUUCAGGGGAUGUUUGUGGACAAAUCUUCCUGCUAUUUACUGAGCUCUACCAGCUGGAUUGCAAACACUCUUCAGUGGAUGAGCCAAAGCACUCCAAAGAAGGGACACCAUUGAUUUAGUUGCUGACAGCCACAGGGAUGGACUCAGAAGAACUGGAGUUGAAAACUGCUCUGGCCAUCCUGGCCUGCAGUGACUGACACCAGAUUUUAUGUGUAUGGAUCUGCCAGAAAUGUCAGGAUAGGAAUUCCUGGCUUAAGUCAACCGACCCCCGAGGAGUACGAAGGUCUGACAGGACUCUGAGACGCCAGAUGCAAACCCAAAGCUGCGGUUUUUUUCUCAGCAGAACAGAAGCGCGGUGAGGAAGCAACCCCGCGUGUCCUUGCGCAGGGCUGAGCGUUGGAGAG
This is a long non-coding RNA of Catharus ustulatus (Swainson's thrush), 428 nucleotides long. RefSeq lists it as uncharacterized. Lineage: Eukaryota; Metazoa; Chordata; Aves; Passeriformes; Turdidae. The transcript has 3 exons. The record is from RefSeq and is a predicted model, not a curated record.